GAGUUUGAUCAUGGCUCAGGACGAACGCUGGCGGCGUGCUUAACACAUGCAAGUCGAACGGAAAGGCCCCCACUUUUUUGGUGGGGGUGCUCGAGUGGCGAACGGGUGAGUAACACGUGGGUGAUCUGCCCUGCACUUCGGGAUAAGCUUGGGAAACUGGGUCUAAUACCGGAUAGGACCAUGGUUUAGUGUCUCAUGGUGGAAAAAUUAUUGUUUUGGUGCAGGAUGAGCUCGCGGCCUAUCAGCUUGUUGGUGGGGUAAUGGCCUACCAAGGCGUCGACGGGUAGCCGGCCUGAGAGGGUGGACGGCCACAUUGGGACUGAGAUACGGCCCAGACUCCUACGGGAGGCAGCAGUGGGGAAUAUUGCACAAUGGGCGCAAGCCUGAUGCAGCGACGCCGCGUGGGGGAUGACGGCCUUCGGGUUGUAAACUCCUUUCGUUAGGGACGAAGCCGCACCUGUUUUGGGUGUGGUGACGGUACCUUUGUUAAGAAGCACCGGCUAACUACGUGCCAGCAGCCGCGGUAAUACGUAGGGUGCGAGCGUUGUCCGGAAUUACUGGGCGUAAAGAGCUCGUAGGUGGUUUGUUGCGUCGUCUGUGAAAUUCCGGGGCUUAACUUCGGGGUGGCAGGCGAUACGGGCAUAACUAGAGUGCUGUAGGGGAGACUGGAAUUCCUGGUGUAGCGGUGGAAUGCGCAGAUAUCAGGAGGAACACCGAUGGCGAAGGCAGGUCUCUGGGCAGUAACUGACGCUGAGGAGCGAAAGCAUGGGGAGCGAACAGGAUUAGAUACCCUGGUAGUCCAUGCUGUAAACGGUGGGCGUUAGGUGUGGGGACCGGCUUGGUUUCUGUGCCGUAGCUAACGCAUUAAGCGCCCCGCCUGGGGAGUACGGCCGCAAGGCUAAAACUCAAAGGAAUUGACGGGGGCCCGCACAAGCGGCGGAGCAUGUGGAUUAAUUCGAUGCAACGCGAAGAACCUUACUUGGGUUUGACAUGCACCAGACGGUUGUAGAGAUACGUACCUCCCUUUGUGGUUGGUGUGCAGGUGGUGCAUGGUUGUCGUCAGCUCGUGUCGUGAGAUGUUGGGUUAAGUCCCGCAACGAGCGCAACCCUUGUCUUAUGUUGCCAGCACUUUGGGUGGGGACUCAUGAGAGACUGCCGGGGUUAACUCGGAGGAAGGUGGGGAUGACGUCAAAUCAUCAUGCCCUUUAUGCCCAGGGCUUCACACAUGCUACAAUGGUUAGUACAACGCGCUGCAAGCCUGUGAGGGUGAGCGAAUCGCUGAAAGCUAAUCUCAGUUCGGAUUGGGGUCUGUAACUCGACCCCAUGAAGUCGGAGUCGCUAGUAAUCGCAGAUCAGCAAUGCUGCGGUGAAUACGUUCCCGGGCCUUGUACACACCGCCCGUC
RNAcentral lists this ribosomal RNA (1403 nucleotides) under uncultured bacterium. Its description in RNAcentral is "bacterial SSU rRNA". It matches the Rfam family "Bacterial small subunit ribosomal RNA". The record is from RNAcentral.